GGCGCCUUGGCCGAGUGGUUAGGCAGAGGCCUGCAAAGCCUCGUACAGCAGUUCGAAUCUGCUAGGCGCCU
This 71-nucleotide transfer RNA is filed under the name Gaiellaceae bacterium. Its description in RNAcentral is "tRNA-Cys". It matches the Rfam family "tRNA". Rfam says of the family: Transfer RNA (tRNA) molecules are approximately 80 nucleotides in length. Their secondary structure includes four short double-helical elements and three loops (D, anti-codon, and T loops). Lineage: Bacteria; Bacillati; Actinomycetota; Thermoleophilia; Gaiellales; Gaiellaceae. The record is from RNAcentral. RNAcentral also lists the same sequence under 2 other names.